This 484-nucleotide ribosomal RNA is filed under the name uncultured bacterium. Its description in RNAcentral is "bacterial SSU rRNA". It matches the Rfam family "Bacterial small subunit ribosomal RNA", at positions 30 to 507 of the family's 1533-position model. The record is from RNAcentral.
AUUGAACGCUGGCGGUAUGCUUAACACAUGCAAGUCGAACGGCAGCAUAAGAGAGCUUGCUCUCUUGAUGGCGAGUAGCGGACGGGUGAGUAACGCGUAGGAAUCUGCCCUAAAGCGGGGGAUAACCCGGGGAAACUCGGGCUAAUACCGCAUAAUCACUACGGUGAAAAGGCUGCUUAGGCAGUCACUUUAGGAGGAGCCUGCGUCAGAUUAGCUUGUUGGUGGGGUAAAGGCCUACCAAGGCUGCGAUCUGUAACUGGUUUGAGAAGAUGAACAGUCACACUGGAACUGAGACACGGUCCAGACUCCUACGGGAGGCAGCAGUGGGGAAUAUUGGACAAUGGGCGCAAGCCUGAUCCAGCAAUACCGCGUGUGUGAAGAAGGCCUUCGGGUUGUAAAGCACUUUAGUUGGGGAGGAAGGUGUUUAGGUUAAUAGCCUAAGCAAUUGACGUUACCCAAAGAAUAAGCACCGGCUAACUCUGUG